This 253-nucleotide ribosomal RNA is filed under the name uncultured bacterium. RNAcentral's name for it is "partial 16S ribosomal RNA". It matches the Rfam family "Bacterial small subunit ribosomal RNA", at positions 524 to 776 of the family's 1533-position model. The record is from RNAcentral.
UACAGAGACCUCAAGCGUUAUCCGGAUUUAUUGGGCGUAAAGAGCAUGUAGGCGGAUAUAUUAGUCAGAUGUCAAAUCUUCGAGCUCAACUCGAAAACUGCAUUUGAAACGGUAUAUCUAGAGAGAGUGAGAGAUUGAUGGAACAUAUGGUGUAGCAGUGAAAUGCGUUGAUAUCAUAUGGAACACCAAAGGCGAAGGCAUUCAAUUGGCACUCUUCUGACGCUGAGAUGCGAAAGCGUGGGUAGCGAAUGGG